GAUGAACGCUGGCGGCGUGCCUAAUACAUGCAAGUCGAGCGAACGGACGAGAAGCUUGCUUUUCUGAUGUUAGCGGCGGACGGGUGAGUAACACGUGGAUAACCUACCUAUAAGACUGGGAUAACUUCGGGAAACCGGAGCUAAUACCGGAUAAUAUUUUGAACCGCAUGGUUCAAAAGUGAAAGACGGUCUUGCUGUCACUUAUAGAUGGAUCCGCGCUGCAUUAGCUAGUUGGUAAGGUAACGGCUUACAAAGGCAACGAUGCAUAGCCGACCUGAGAGGGUGAUCGGCCACACUGGAACUGAGACACGGUCCAGACUCUACGGGAGGCAGCAGUAGGGAAUCUUCCGCAAUGGGCGAAAGCCUGACGGAGCAACGCCGCGUGAGUGAUGAAGGUCUUCGGAUCGUAAAACUCUGUUAUUAGGGAAGAACAUAUGUGUAAGUAACUGUGCACAUCUUGACGGUACCUAAUCAGAAAGCCACGGCUAACUACGUG
RNAcentral lists this ribosomal RNA (496 nucleotides) under uncultured bacterium. RNAcentral describes it as "partial 16S ribosomal RNA". It matches the Rfam family "Bacterial small subunit ribosomal RNA", at positions 28 to 507 of the family's 1533-position model. The record is from RNAcentral.